UUACGGCCAUAUAAUGUUGAAACAUCGGUUCCCGUACGAUCAAGCAACGUCGAGCCAGGUCAGUACUUAGACGGGUGAUGGCUUGGGAAUACCAGGUGCUGUAAG
Non-coding RNA from Acanthosepion pharaonis, 105 nucleotides. The record is from the annotation of a GenBank genome assembly. NCBI's taxonomy places the organism in Eukaryota, Metazoa, Mollusca, Cephalopoda, Sepiida, Sepiidae.